CUAGGUUACUCAGAGGAUGCUGUCCUGUAGAGCAGCUGAGCGGGUAUUGAUAUAUAUAAAACAGCCUGCAAACAGUGCAGGCGGAAGGAAGAGACUGGGCACCUUUAUAUGUAUAAUUUGGCCAGGGCCCUUGAGUGCCCUGAUGGCCUCCCUGGCAGUGGGACUGAGAGGUCCCAUAGAAGCAGACCACGUCAGAUCCUUCUGGUGUAAGGUCCCGUAGCAGUUACAUAGUUUGCCUCUAUGGGCGCUAUGCCACUGAAGUAGGCAUGCACAAGAAAAAGAGCACUUAGAGGAGGGGCUGAGAAUUCUAAGGACCAUGAUGAAAGAAUAGUUGCAGAACAUUCUAAGAAUAUUCCCAGGAAGAUUGAUCGUACUAGGCUCGAUGUCAUUGAUCAUAUAUGGCCAGUUUGGAAGAGUUUGAUGGCCAAUAUGGACAAAAUUAUAUAUUUAUGUCUGUGAAACCUUAGUUCAUCAGACAUAUGUUUGUGCAACAGUUGUUCUACCAUGCACCUACUUUUUAUGUAAUGUUUAUGGCCACCUUUACAUUGCACUUUCUUGCUAAACUGUGGUGUGGACUCGGCAACAAAUGAUCCAAGCUUUAUCUUGAUCACUAGAAAUGGUAUUAUGUCUAUCUAUACUCCAGGGACAUAGCUGAAUAAUGACUGGCUGGGCAUUUGCCUUGGCUGAUGGGUGCCUGGGGGUUCUACAGGCCCCACUGCAUUAACCAGAGUAUUUAGAUACAGGGAAUUUAACUUAAUUUGCCCCAGGUGACAGAGCGCCUAGCUAUGACUGUCCAAGGCUAUGCUUGCCUUAUCUUUAUGUUAAAGGGAUUAGCACUGAACCUUAUAUUAUGUUGUAAUUUUAACUUGAACAAUAAAAAUGAGU
This is a long non-coding RNA of Hyla sarda, 885 nucleotides long. RefSeq lists it as uncharacterized. The record is from RefSeq and is a predicted model, not a curated record. NCBI's taxonomy places the organism in Eukaryota, Metazoa, Chordata, Amphibia, Anura, Hylidae. The transcript has 4 exons.